GAUGAACGCUGGCGGCGUGCCUAAUACAUGCAAGUCGAGCGAACAGACGAGGAGCUUGCUCCUCUGACGUUAGCGGCGGACGGGUGAGUAACACGUGGAUAACCUACCUAUAAGACUGGGAUAACUUCGGGAAACCGGAGCUAAUACCGGAUAACAUGUUGAACCGCAUGGUUCAACAGUGAAAGACGGUCUUGCUGUCACUUAUAGAUGGAUCCGCGCCGCAUUAGCUAGUUGGUAAGGUAACGGCUUACCAAGGCAACGAUGCGUAGCCGACCUGAGAGGGGGAUCGGCCACACGGGAACUGGGACACGGUCCAGACCCUACGGGAGGCAGCAGUAGGGAAUCUUCCGCAAUGGGCGAAAGCCUGACGGAGCAACGCCGCGUGAGUGAAGAAGGUCUUCGGAUCGUAAAACUCUGUUAUUAGGGAAGAACAAAUGUGUAAGUAACUAUGCACGUCUUGACGGUACCUAAUCAGAAAGCCACGGCUAACUACGUG
Molecule: ribosomal RNA, 496 nt
Filed under: uncultured bacterium
Lineage: Bacteria
Description: partial 16S ribosomal RNA
Rfam family: Bacterial small subunit ribosomal RNA
Source: RNAcentral